Molecule: ribosomal RNA, 291 nt
Filed under: uncultured bacterium
Lineage: Bacteria
Description: partial 16S ribosomal RNA
Rfam family: Bacterial small subunit ribosomal RNA
Source: RNAcentral
GCGGUAAUANGUAGGGGGCAAGCGUUAUCCGAAUUUAAUGGGUGUAAAGGGAGCGUAGACGGCACGGCAAGCCAGAUGUGAAAGCCNGGGGCUCAACCCCGGGANUGCAUUUGGAANUACUNAGCUAGAGUGUCGGAGAGGCAAGUGGAAUUCCUAGUGUAGCGGUGAAAUGCGUAGAUAUUAGGAGGAACACCAGUGGCAAAGGCGGCUUGNUGGACAAUGACUGACGUUNAGGCUCNAAAGCGUGGGGAGCAAACNGGAUUAGAUACCCUGGUAGUCCACGCCGUAAAC